This 248-nucleotide ribosomal RNA is filed under the name uncultured bacterium. RNAcentral describes it as "partial 16S ribosomal RNA". It matches the Rfam family "Bacterial small subunit ribosomal RNA", at positions 334 to 599 of the family's 1533-position model. The record is from RNAcentral.
ACUCCCUACGGGGCGCAGCAGUGGGGGAUAUCGCACAAUGGGGGGAACCCUGAUGCAGCGACGCCGCGUGGGUGAAGAAGCGCCUCGGCGCGUAAAGCCCUGUCAGCAGGGAAGAAAAUGACGGUACCUGAAGAAGAAGCCCCGGCUAACUACGUGCCAGCAGCCGCGGUAAUACGUAGGGGGCAAGCGUUAUCCGGAUUUACUGGGUGUAAAGGGGGUGUAGACGGCGAUGCAAGCCAGGAGUGAAA